UACGUAGGGGGCAAGCGUUGUCCGGAAUUAUUGGGCGUAAAGCGCGUGUAGGCGGCCAGAUAAGUCCGCUGUGAAAUCUCGAGGCUCAACUUCGAGCUGUCGGUGGAAACUGUCUGGCUAGAGUCCGGAAGAGGAGAAUGGAAUUCCUGGUGUAGCGGUGAAAUGCGCAGAUAUCAGGAAGAACACCAGUGGCGAAGGCGGCUCACUGGCUCGGUACUGACGCUGAGGUGCGAAAGCGUGGGGAGCAAACAGG
Molecule: ribosomal RNA, 253 nt
Filed under: uncultured bacterium
Lineage: Bacteria
Description: partial 16S ribosomal RNA
Rfam family: Bacterial small subunit ribosomal RNA
Source: RNAcentral